UGUCUUUAUAUAAUAAAGCAGUGAAGGAUUAAUCCACACUGCCGAUGCCUGUGAACUAGAUUUGUUGUGAUUAAUUAUUCAACAAUUUGAAAUUGUUUUUACAGCACUUCACCUCAAAGCUGUACAGUCACCCUGAACAUUGUUAUCUGUUUGAACACAAACAAAUUCUACCAUUCUACUGUGGCCAUGUGGUAGGCUUCGUGAUAGAUGUUCGAAAAGUAUUCUUUAGUCUAAUACACAUAAUGACCUUCCUAUAAAAGCAUGUUGUUUAAUUAGAGGACUGUGGGCAUAAAUCCUUCACGUGAUUUAUAUGGCAUAAAUAUAGAUCUCUGACACUCAGAAAGCUAAAACCCUUCAAGAGAACACCUCCAGCUCUUGCAGAUUAAGACAUGUUUUAGACAGAAUCUCAGAGAACUCAGCAUGAUUGGAGUUGCAGUUCACAGAGGAGAGAUUGCCAGAGGGACUCGUUCAGAGCCUUGGUAAACAUUGUACAUUAAUAAUCAUAAGUACAAGCUGUUUUACAUUCAUUGUGUUUUAAUAAAAUCUUUACUUAAUAAUAAUGAUGGAAAAUGUAUUAACGUUUGAGAAGUGACCAGUAAAGGACUGAAUUUGUAUAGCAAAAUGGCACUACCCCACUCUGCCCACAAGAGCUCACAAUCUAAUUUUUUUUUUCUCAUUUGAAAAAGUUUUUAUUCAGUUUUUCAAAUAUUUUUCAUUUUCAAUAGUAUGGUUACUUGACAGGCUGCAACGUGGCAAGUUAC
Pelobates cultripes (western spadefoot toad) is the source of this 761-nucleotide non-coding RNA. The record is from the annotation of a GenBank genome assembly. Lineage: Eukaryota; Metazoa; Chordata; Amphibia; Anura; Pelobatidae.